Molecule: non-coding RNA, 83 nt
Organism: Potamilus streckersoni
Lineage: Eukaryota; Metazoa; Mollusca; Bivalvia; Unionida; Unionidae
Source: the annotation of a GenBank genome assembly
GUCUCGAACCGCUCCAAUGGCCUAGUGGUUAGAGCGUCAGCCUCGGAUGCGAGAGAUCGCGGGUUUGAACCCCGGUCAAGUCA